AUGCAGGAAUUAGUGGACAUUCGGGACUUGCACGUUGGGCCAUGGCUUGUGGCAGGGGACUUUAAUCUCCUUGCCAAGUAGGAAGACAAGAGCAAUGCCUUGGUGAAUAGAAGAAUGCUUGCGAGGUUACGAGCCAAGCUAAACCUACUUGAGCUGAAAGAAUUGUACCUCAAUGGGAGACGAUACAUGUGGUCCAAUGAGAGGAGGAAUGCAACUUUGGAGAAGAUCGAUCAUGUCUUUGUUUCGAAUGAGUGCGACGAGGCAUACCCCACCCGUUUCCUCUUGGCUCUUGGCACAGCGGUAUCAGAUCACUGCCCGUUGAUGCUAGACUUGAAUGUGGAUAUUACUACAAGGAAAAGAUUUAGGUUCGAAGCUUUUUGGUGCAAAGCCGAGGGUUCUAUGGAUGUGGUCAAAAUGGUGUGGACCUCGAUGCCGGCAGCCUCCAAUGUAUAUCUCACCCUACCCAACAAACUCAGGGCUACGGCUAUUAGCCUCCAAAGGUGGAGUGAUCGUCGGAUUGGAAAUGUGAAAUUUCAUAUUGCUAUUGCUAUGGAGGUGAUCAAGCGGCUUGACAUUGCUACGGACUUGAGAGAGCUCUCCAACGAGGAGACAGAAUUGAGGAGGUGCUUGAAGAAGAAGUUACUAGGGUUGUGCUCCCUUGAAAGAACAAUCGCGAGGCAAAGAUCUCGGCUCUUGCAGUUGCGGGAAGGGGAUGGAAACACGAGACUGUUCACCAACAUGCAAGUCACAAGCAGCGGAAGAUAA
This 765-nucleotide ribosomal RNA is filed under the name Triticum aestivum (bread wheat). RNAcentral's name for it is "partial small subunit ribosomal RNA". Lineage: Eukaryota; Viridiplantae; Streptophyta; Magnoliopsida; Poales; Poaceae. The record is from RNAcentral.